This 72-nucleotide transfer RNA is filed under the name Marchantia polymorpha subsp. ruderalis. It matches the Rfam family "tRNA". Rfam says of the family: Transfer RNA (tRNA) molecules are approximately 80 nucleotides in length. The record is from Rfam by way of RNAcentral. Lineage: Eukaryota; Viridiplantae; Streptophyta; Marchantiopsida; Marchantiales; Marchantiaceae.
GUAGUCCUAGCUCAGCUGGCAGAGCAACGAUUUGUGGUGUCGUGUAUUAUGGUUCGAGUCCAUAGUUUUACC